CCUACGGGUGGCAGCAGUGAGGAAUAUUGGUCAAUGGGCGAGAGCCUGAACCAGCCAAGUCGCGUGAAGGAUGACGGCCCUACGGGUUGUAAACUUCUUUUGUCAGGGAGCAAUUGGGUCCACGCGUGGGCUUAGCGAGAGUACCUGAAGAAAAAGCAUCGGCUAACUCCGUGCCAGCAGCCGCGGUAAUACGGAGGAUGCGAGCGUUAUCCGGAUUUAUUUGGUUUAAAGGGUGCGUAGGCGGAAUAUCAAGUCAGCGGGAAAAAUUCGGGGCGCAAACCCGUCGUGUCGUUGAAACUGAUGUUCUUGAGUGGGCGAGAAGUAUGCGGAAUGCGUGGUGUAGCGGUGAAAUGCAUAGAUAUCACGCAGAACUCCGAUUGCGAAGGCAGCAUACCGGCGCCCAACUGACGCUGAAGCACGAAAGCGUGGGUAUCGAACAGGAUUAGAUACCCCAGUAGUC
This 460-nucleotide ribosomal RNA is filed under the name uncultured bacterium. RNAcentral's name for it is "partial 16S ribosomal RNA". It matches the Rfam family "Bacterial small subunit ribosomal RNA", at positions 338 to 795 of the family's 1533-position model. The record is from RNAcentral.